Molecule: ribosomal RNA, 779 nt
Filed under: uncultured bacterium
Lineage: Bacteria
Description: bacterial SSU rRNA
Rfam family: Bacterial small subunit ribosomal RNA
Source: RNAcentral
AGAGUUUGAUCCUGGCUCAGAAUCAACGCUGGCGGUGUGCCUAACACAUGCAAGUCGAGCGAGAAAAGGUAGCAAUAUCUUAGUAAAGCGGCGCACGGGUGAGUAACACGUGGAUAACCUGCCUCGAAGCGGGGAAUAACACCGGGAAACCGGUGCUAAUACCGCAUAUCCUGCCGAAAUCUGUGGAUUUUGUCAGUAAAGGAGCAAUUCGCUUUGAGAGGGGUCCGCGGCUGAUUAGCUAGUUGGUGAGGUAAUGGCUCACCAAGGCCACGAUCAGUAGCCGGUCUGAGAGGACGGUCGGCCACACUGGAACUGAGACACGGUCCAGACUCCUACGGGAGGCAGCAGUGGGGAAUUUUUCGCAAUGGGGGCAACCCUGACGAAGCAACGCCGCGUGGGUGAUGAAGUAUCUCGGUACGUAAAACCCUUUCGACGGGGACGAAACCGCAAGGUUGACGGUACCCGUAGAAGAAGCCCCGGCUAACUCCGUGCCAGCAGCCGCGGUAAUACGGGGGGGGCAAGCGUUGUUCGGAAUUACUGGGCGUAAAGCGCACGUAGGCGGAUAUUUAAGUCAGGGGUGAAAUCCCAGAGCUCAACUCUGGAACUGCCUUUGAUACUGGGUAUCUUGAGUAUGGAAGAGGUAAGUGGAAUUCCGAGUGUAGAGGUGAAAUUCGUAGAUAUUCGGAGGAACACCAGUGGCGAAAGCGGCUUACUGGUCCAUUACUGACGCUGAGUGCGAAAGCGUGGGGAGCAAACAGGAUUAGAUACCCUGGUAGUCC